CUACGGGGGGCUGCAGUGAGGAAUAUUGCGCAAUGGGGGAAACCCUGACGCAGCGACGCCGCGUGGAGGAUGACGCAUUUCGGUGUGUAAACUCCUUUUAUAUGUCAAGAAAAUGACGGUAGCAUAUGAAUAAGCUCCGGCUAACUCCGUGCCAGCAGCCGCGGUAAUACGGAGGGAGCAAGCGUUACUCGGAAUCACUGGGCGUAAAGGACGCGUAGGCGGGAUAGAAAGUCAGGUGUGAAAUCCUAUGGCUCAACCAUAGAACUGCACUUGAAACUUCUAACCUAGAGUAUGGGAGGGGAAGAUGGAAUUAGUGGUGUAGGGGUAAAAUCCGUAGAUAUCACUAGGAAUACCAAAAGCGAAGGCGAUCUUCUGGAACAAUACUGACGCUAAGGCGUGAAAGCGUGGGGAGCAAACAGGAUUAGAUACCCGCGUAGUC
This 439-nucleotide ribosomal RNA is filed under the name uncultured bacterium. Its description in RNAcentral is "partial 16S ribosomal RNA". It matches the Rfam family "Bacterial small subunit ribosomal RNA", at positions 339 to 795 of the family's 1533-position model. The record is from RNAcentral.